This 490-nucleotide ribosomal RNA is filed under the name uncultured bacterium. Its description in RNAcentral is "partial 16S ribosomal RNA". It matches the Rfam family "Bacterial small subunit ribosomal RNA", at positions 28 to 507 of the family's 1533-position model. The record is from RNAcentral.
GAUGAACGCUAGCUACAGGCUUAACACAUGCAAGUCGAGGGGCAGCAUGGUCUUAGCUUGCUAAGGCCGAUGGCGACCGGCGCACGGGUGAGUAACACGUAUCCAACCUGCCGUCUACUCUUGGACAGCCUUCUGAAAGGAAGAUUAAUACAAGAUGGCAUCAUGAGUCCGCAUGUUCACAUGAUUAAAGGUAUUCCGGUAGACGAUGGGGAUGCGUUCCAUUAGAUAGUAGGCGGGGUAACGGCCCACCUAGUCUUCGAUGGAUAGGGGUUCUGAGAGGAAGGUCCCCCACAUUGGAACUGAGAAACGGUCCAAACUCCUACGGGAGGCAGCAGUGAGGAAUAUUGGUCAAUGGGCGCAGGCCUGAACCAGCCAAGUAGCGUGAAGGAUGACUGCCCUAUGGGUUGUAAACUUCUUUUAUAAAGGAAUAAAGUCGGGUAUGUAUACCCGUUUGCAUGUACUUUAUGAAUAAGGAUCGGCUAACUCCGUG